CCAAUUUGUCUCUUUACAUUCCGUCAUCAAUUUCCUAACAGUUUGUGCUGCUUGGAGAGCUGAAAUGAUGAUGAGCAUUCAUUGGCUAUGGGCAACUCUAGCCUUGGCUGGACUUUGCUAUUUUCUUCCUCAGUAUUUUCUAGGGAUGCAAAGUGCGGCCAAGGCUAGAGUUGUAUCUUCUUCCUCAGUAUUUUCUUCCUCAGUAUCUGAGAUGUAUCUUUAAGUCAAAUUUAGCAAAGUGCGGAAGAACCCUCAUCCCUCAUCUACUGAGGAAGAACCCUCAUCCCUAGCCUUGGCCGCACUUUGUGGCCAUCAUGAUGGAAAUUAUUCAGUCUGGAACGUCUGAGUUCGAAUUUGACCGUCGUCAUGUCAAAGCUGUUUUGUUUGAGGAUAUGCUUGUAGCCUCGAUGGGCACUUCAGUGACAGCAGUUGAAUGGGGCAUCUUAGAACUCCUUAGACAUCCAACGGCCAUGAGGAAACUCCAAAAAAAAACUGGAAGAGAAAGUCGGGUUGGAGAGGAUUGUUGAGGAAUCAGAUCUUGAGGGCCUGGAGUAUUUGGACAUGGUUGUCAAAGAAUCAAUGAGGCUUCAUCCUGUCGGACCACUAAUGCUCCCCCACGAGUCAAUUCAAGAUUGCACAGUUGAUGACUUCCAUAUUCAGAAAAAAUCGCGAAUCAUGUAUAUGCAAUUGGCCGUGAUCCAAAUGUCUGGCCUGAUCCGGAGGCCUUCAUCCCCGAAAGAUUCAAGGAUAGCGAUAUAGACCUUCGCGGACAAGAUUUCAGACUUGUACCAUUUGGCUCAGGCAGAAGAAUUAGCCCAGGUUUGCAGUUGGGGCUCACUGUUGUGCGUUUUGUGCUAGCACAGUUGGUGCAUUGUUUCAAUUGGGAACUUGCAGAUAACAUUCAGCCAAUCGGUUUGGAUAUGUCUGAGGCUUUGGUUUGGUAACUUCAAGGGCUAAGCAUUCAAAGGUAGUGCCUGCUUACCGAUUGCACAAAUGAAUAAAGAUUGUGGACUCCAAUUCUAGUUCAGGAACUGUAAAAGUAGAUUUAAUUUUUUUUUUUUUUUGUUAAUUCGAUUAUCCAGUUACAUUAUGGAAAGGUAUUCAUUUGUUUGUUUUUU
Non-coding RNA from Coffea arabica (coffee), 1118 nucleotides. The record is from RefSeq and is a predicted model, not a curated record. NCBI's taxonomy places the organism in Eukaryota, Viridiplantae, Streptophyta, Magnoliopsida, Gentianales, Rubiaceae.